GCCCCGGGCCCUGAGGGGAGCGGGCGGCAGCGGCAGGGCUGGCGGCGCGCGGGCGGAGAUCGCCCGCGUCCCGCCGCGCCGGGCUCCUUCGGUAACGGAUGGGGCGGCGAACUAGAGAGGUCUGGGCGCAUCAGGCAAGUUGCGUGCGGCGAGCGGCGUCUGCUCAAAAAGGCUACAGUGCUCGUUGUACAGCAUGGUGAUGAUGUGAAGCCUUAAGAGACGUUUCUGGCAUACUGGAGUAGGAAGAAUACAGCCUUAACAGCACAAACCAGCCUGAACUCAUGGUCAUCUUAAUGCAGACUUGAAGAAGUGUUUUCCUGAGCAAAUCCAAAAUCAUGAAUUGUUGCCUCCUGUCUGUCAAGAAAAUGAAGAUAUUUUUAAAAGA
RNAcentral lists this long non-coding RNA (385 nucleotides) under Strigops habroptila (Kakapo). RNAcentral describes it as "lncRNA (ENSSHBG00005003725.1)". The record is from RNAcentral. Lineage: Eukaryota; Metazoa; Chordata; Aves; Psittaciformes; Psittacidae.